Phascolarctos cinereus (koala) is the source of this 3067-nucleotide non-coding RNA. NCBI's taxonomy places the organism in Eukaryota, Metazoa, Chordata, Mammalia, Diprotodontia, Phascolarctidae. The record is from RefSeq and is a predicted model, not a curated record.
UUUUUUUUUUUUUUGAAUCAGUUUCUUCCUUCCAGUCUAAAUGUGUCUCUAUAGCUUCCUCCCAUUGCUCCUGGGUCUGCCCUCUGGGACCAAGGCAGAGCAAGUGUGAUCUCUUUUCCACAUGACAGCCCUUCAGAUAUUUGAAGGGAACAAACAUGUCCUACUUACAUCAUAGAACAUGUAUCUGGCAGAGAGAUCAUUGAAGUCCGACCUUUCAUUUGACACAGGUGGAAACUGAGGCCCAGAGAAGGGCCCCUCUGGCCCAUGGUCACAGUCAGGAGGCAUCAGAGCUAGGACUCACACCUGUGUCCUUGGACUCCAAAUAUGAGAGCCUUUCCACCGCACCACCCUGCCUCCCUCUUCUUCAGGACAAACGUUUCCAUUUUCUUCAACUGGCUCUUCACCGACCACAGAGGGUACGAUGUGCUCUGGGAAAGAGCCCCAGGUCUGAUGUGUGAUCACGUGUGAGGCUGCAGGGACAUCACACCAUAAGAUCUUUGACAGCCACUGUGGCUUGAGGGUGCUCACUUGGAAUUUCUGUGACCAGGAAGGCUGAGGCUGGUGGACCUCUUCAGGGCUGGAGUGCUGAACUGCAGUGGCCUACACUGAUCAGGUGUCUUCACUAAGUUCAAGAGUUGUCUUAGAGCUGGCUUCCAAGACAGGAAGAUCUGGGUUCAAGUCUUGCCUCUGACACAUACUCUCUGAGUCACACUGCACCAUUUCCUCUGGUUGAAAUGCCCUACCCCUAUGGCUCUGCCCGUCAAAAGUCUGCCUGUCCUUCAAGGCUGAGAUCAAAUACCACCUCCUCUAGGAAGCCUCCCCUGGAGAGGCAAUUUGGUGCAGUGAAAAGAGCACUGGAAUUGGCAUCAGGAGGGCCCCAGCUUUGCAACCAGCCUCUGAUGCUUUCUAGGAAUAUGAUCAUGGGUGCCGAGUGGCUCCAUGGUGGUUCUGAGAACUCUUUCCUGCCCGGGCUCUUGGUGGAAGCUCCUACCAUAGGAAGAAAGAGCCAGGAUCCUCUACCAGAGAAAGAGUCAGUCAGGCUCCCAGAGCAAGAGAGGCAGAGGAUGGAGCUAUGUGAAGGAAAAUUAUACCACCUAGCCCGUAACUAAUCCAACAGCUAAAACCAACCUACAAGAAGCUUUUCCUGGUCCCCCUUAAAGCUAGUGUCUUCCCUCUACAGAUUACCUCCAGUUUACUCUACACAUAUCCUACAUACACAUAGUUAUAUACAUGUUGUCCCUCCCAUUAGACUGUGAGCUCCUUGAGGGCAGGAAUUAUUUUUGCCUUUCUUUGCAUCCUUGGCAUUUAGCACAGUACCUAGAACAUAGCAGGUGCUUAAUAAAUGGUUGUUGACCUGACUUGACUUGAUAUAGGAAAAGAUAUCUGUUAUUCUCCAAAGCAUAUGACUGUAGGACCGUGACAGUGUUUCAUUAUGAUUCUGGGUAUUUGGUGCAAGAGGGAACUCUGUAGCUGGAGUGGGAGUGUAGCACUGAGCUUGGUGCUUUCAAGGGAAAGUCCUACUCCCUUGCAUGGCUUUCACGGUGAACAUGAGCACUAUCGAGACUUUGGAUGUGGUAUGCGGGAGCUUCUUAUCUCUGGAAGGAAAUAGAACAUAAAGCAACAUCUGAGUGGUGACAGAUCAUUUCACCCAGUGUGCACUGUGUGCGUAUCCUAUUUUACCAGGGACCAGAAAAUAACCUCUGGAUUGCAAAUGCCCUCAGGACAGAGUUCAGAUUUCUCUCUUCUAGAUAUUCUCUUUAGUUUUUUUCCCCCCCUAGGUUUUCAUAACACUGCUCUCUCCUGGUUCUCUUACCUGUCUGACCACUCCUUUUCAGUCUCCUUUGCUAGAUCUUCAUCCACAUCAGGUCCAAAGGCUGUAGGUGUCUCCCAUGAUGUUGCCCUGGGUCCUCUUUUCUUCUCUCAUACUAUCUCAGUUGUUGAUCUCAUCAUGGGAUCUACUGCCUUCUCUAUGCAGAAGAUUCCCAGAUCUAUAUAUCCAUUCCCAGUCUUACCAAACUUUAGUUACAUAUCAUCAACUGCCUCUUGGACCUCUUGAACUGAACGGCCCAAAGGCAUCUCAAAAUCAACAUUUGUAAAACAGAAUUCAUUUUCUUUCUCCCCACCUCCCCCUUCCCAACUUCCCUAUUGCUAUCAAGGGCACUGCCAUCUCCCCAGUCCCACAACCCAGUCCUGCCCUCUUGUUACUACCCUUGACUCCUCAUUCUCACUCAUCCCACGUUUCCAAUCAGUUGACAAAUUUUGUCAUUUCUACUUUCCCAGAUUACUUUCUCCUCCCUCUUCCUUCACAGCAUCUCUUAUAUAAGUCCUCCCUUCUCUAUUGACAAAGCGACUACCCUACUCUGAGCCCUUAUCACUUAGACUAUUGCUUUGCUACUGUUCUGUCAUUUCACUUAUGUCUGACUCUUUGUGACCCCAUUUGGGGUUCUCUUGGCAAAGAUACUGGAGUAGGUCACCAUUUCCUUCUGCACCUAGACUAUUGCAAAAGCCUUCUAAUUAGUGUCACUGCCUUAAGCCUCACCCUAUUCCAAUCUAUCUUCUAUUCAGCUACCAAAGUGAUUUCCCUAAAGGGUCGGUCACCCCCAUUACCCUUCUCAAUAGAUCCCAGUGACUCCCUAUAAUCUCUAGGAUCAAAUAUAAACUCUUCUGUUUUGCAUUUAAAGCCCUUCACAAUCUGACCUAUUACUACCGUUCAAGUCUUCUUAUGCCUCUACAUUUCGGGCUCCAGCUAUGCUGACUUACUUGGCUGUUUUCCCCAUCUGACACUCCUCACCUCUACUUCCUGGCUUUCUUGGCUUCCUUCAAAACUCGGCUCAAAUCCUACCUUCUGCAAGAGUCCUUUCCUGGUCCUCCCCACUGCUAAUGCCUUUCUUCCAAAAUUAUCUUCCAUCUACACCAUCUACAUCUUGUACAUACAUAGUUAUUUGCAGGCUGUCUCCCCAAUUUGGGGAGGAACAAUGUUUUUGACUUUAUUGGAAUUCCCAAUGCUUAUUUUAGUGCCUGGCAUGCAGUAAAGUGCUUAAUAAAUGCUUUUUGACCAACUGACUGA